AGUGUUCUCUAAACAGUAUAGGCCUUGCCUUGACAAAAGACUAAACGUUGCCACUGAAUUCAGAGGUAGAUUUGAUAUGGGGAGCAUAGAAUGGGGUAAGAGGGUUAAGGAAUGUGGAAGAGCACAAGUCUGA
Molecule: long non-coding RNA, 133 nt
Organism: Corapipo altera (White-ruffed manakin)
Lineage: Eukaryota; Metazoa; Chordata; Aves; Passeriformes; Pipridae
Exons: 3
Source: RefSeq, a predicted model, not a curated record